RNAcentral lists this long non-coding RNA (315 nucleotides) under Gallus gallus (chicken). Lineage: Eukaryota; Metazoa; Chordata; Aves; Galliformes; Phasianidae. The record is from RNAcentral.
UGCCUGUUUUGCGUGUCAGGUCCUCGACAGAGGCAGCAUCAAAGUGGCCCCGCCAGCGCUUGGUGCUGCGGCGCUCCUCCACCUCCACCUCCAGUACUGCUUGGCUCACACUCAGCUGGAUGCUGUGCUCCUUGCCACGGAAGAAGCAGUUGGCCUGCAGGCACCGUGGCUCCUCCAUGGUUGCCAGAGGGCUACCAGGACCGGGACUUCGGGUGCCCCCGCAGGCCGCGAGGCUCCCCAGGGACGCUGCGGAGCCUGAGCUGGGAGCGCCAAGGCGCCUCCGCGUCCCGCGGCGAAACCAGGCAGCUCCCGGUG